UACGUAGAAUGCAAGCGUUAAUCGGAAUUACUGGGCGUAAGGCGUGCGCAGGCGGUUUUGUAAGACAGGCGUGAAAUCCCCGGGCUUAACCUGGGAAUGACGCUUGUGACUGCAAGACUGGAGUGCGGCAGAGGGGGAUGGAAUUCCGCGUGUAGCAGUGAAAUGCGUAGAUAUGCGGAGGAACACCGAUGGCGAAGGCAAUCCCCUGGGCCUGCACUGACGCUCAUGCACGAAAGCGUGGGGAGCAAAC
RNAcentral lists this ribosomal RNA (250 nucleotides) under uncultured bacterium. Its description in RNAcentral is "partial 16S ribosomal RNA". It matches the Rfam family "Bacterial small subunit ribosomal RNA", at positions 524 to 773 of the family's 1533-position model. The record is from RNAcentral.